CCCUAGUAACUGCGAGUGAAGCGGGAAAAGCUCAAAUUUGAAAUCUGGCAGUCUUUUUUUUCUUCUUUGGCUGUCCGAGUUGUAAUCUAGAGAAGUGCUUACCUGCACUGGACCAUGUAUAAGUCUCCUGGAAUGGAGCGUCACAGAGGGUGAGAAUCCUGUCUUUGACAUGGACUGCCAGUGUGUUGUGGUGUGCUCUCAAAGAGUCGAGUUGUUUGGGAAUGCAGCUCUAAAUGGGUGGUAAACUCCAUCUAAAGCUAAAUAUUGGCGAGAGACCGAUAGUGAACAAGUACCGUGAGGGAAAGAUGAAAAGGACUUUGGAAAGAGAGUUAAACAGUAUGUGAAAUUGUUGAAAGGGAAACGCUUGAAGUCAGUUAUGUUGGCUAGGGAUCAACUUAGCUAUUUUUGCUGGGUGAAUUUCCUAGUUUGACAGGCCAACAUCAGUCUUGACUGCUGGAAAAGAGCAGGGGGAAUGUGGCACCUUUGGGUGUGUUAUAGCCCUUUGUCAUAUGUGGCAGUUGGGACUGAGGGAUGCAGCGUGCUGUGAAAGUGGGGUUUAUGACCACGUUCACGCUUAGGAUGUUGGCUUUUAAUGGCUUUAAUCGACCCGUCUUGAAACACGGACCAAGGAGUCUAACAUGCCUGCGAGUGUUUGGGUGGGGAAAACCCUUGUGCACAAUGAAAGUGAAAGUUGAGAUCCCUGUCAUGGGGAGCAUCGACGCCCGGACCUGAGCUUUUAGCGAUGGAUCCGCGGUAGAGCAUGCAUGUUGGGACCCGAAAGAUGGUGAACUAUGCCUGAAUAGGGCAAAGCCAGAGGAAACUCUGGUGGAGGCUCGUAGCGAUUCUGACGUGCAAAUCGAUCGUCAAAUUUGGGUAUAGGGGCGAAAG
This 888-nucleotide ribosomal RNA is filed under the name Amanita retenta. RNAcentral describes it as "eukaryotic LSU rRNA". It matches the Rfam family "Eukaryotic large subunit ribosomal RNA", at positions 78 to 929 of the family's 3401-position model. Lineage: Eukaryota; Fungi; Basidiomycota; Agaricomycetes; Agaricales; Amanitaceae. The record is from RNAcentral.